This 118-nucleotide ribosomal RNA is filed under the name Carassius auratus (goldfish). Lineage: Eukaryota; Metazoa; Chordata; Actinopteri; Cypriniformes; Cyprinidae. The record is from RNAcentral.
GCUUACGGCCAUACCAACCUGGCUAUGCCCGAUCUCGUCUGAUCUCGGAAGCUAAGCAGGUUUGGGCCUGGUUAGUACUUGGAUGGGAGACUCCUGGGAAUACCAGGUGCUUUAAGCU